RNAcentral lists this non-coding RNA (82 nucleotides) under uncultured Roseburia sp. Its description in RNAcentral is "S10-Clostridia ribosomal protein leader". It matches the Rfam family "S10-Clostridia ribosomal protein leader". The record is from RNAcentral. Lineage: Bacteria; Bacillati; Bacillota; Clostridia; Lachnospirales; Lachnospiraceae.
UGAUAGCGAUGAAGCGAGAGGUUGCUGCAAGAGAUUGCAGGUUUUCCGUGGAGCGAAUGUCAAGUUAGGAAACUGGCGACAA